ACAACGGAUCUCUUGGCUCUCGCAUCGAUGAAGAACGCAGCGAAAUGCGAUAACUAAUGCGAUAACUAAUGUGAAUUGCAGAAUUCAGUGAAUCAUCGAGUCUUUGAACGCACCUUGCGCCCUUUGGUACUCCGAAGGGCAUGCCUGUUUGAGUGUCAGUAACU
This 164-nucleotide ribosomal RNA is filed under the name Flammulina velutipes. Its description in RNAcentral is "5.8S ribosomal RNA". It matches the Rfam family "5.8S ribosomal RNA". From Rfam's summary of the family: 5.8S ribosomal RNA (5.8S rRNA) is a component of the large subunit of the eukaryotic ribosome. It is transcribed by RNA polymerase I as part of the 45S precursor that also contains 18S and 28S rRNA. The record is from RNAcentral. Lineage: Eukaryota; Fungi; Basidiomycota; Agaricomycetes; Agaricales; Physalacriaceae.